AACGAACGCUGGCGGCAUGCCUAACACAUGCAAGUCGAACGAGGCCUUCGGGUCUAGUGGCGCACGGGUGCGUAACGCGUGGGAACCCGCCCUUAGGUUCGGAAUAACUCCCCGAAAGGGGUGCUAAUACCGGAUAAUGUCUUCGGACCAAAGAUUUAUCGCCUUUGGAUGGGCCCGCGUUGGAUUAGCUAGUUGGUAGGGUAAAAGCCUACCAAGGCGACGAUCCAUAGCUGGUCUGAGAGGAUGAUCAGCCACACUGGGACUGAGACACGGCCCAGACUCCUACGGGAGGCAGCAGUGGGGAAUAUUGGACAAUGGGCGAAAGCCUGAUCCAGCAAUGCCGCGUGAGUGAUGAAGGCCUUAGGGUUGUAAAGCUCUUUUACCCGGGAUGAUAAUGACAGUACCGGGAGAAUAAGCUCCGGCUAACUCCGUG
This 433-nucleotide ribosomal RNA is filed under the name uncultured bacterium. Its description in RNAcentral is "partial 16S ribosomal RNA". It matches the Rfam family "Bacterial small subunit ribosomal RNA", at positions 29 to 507 of the family's 1533-position model. The record is from RNAcentral.